AUUUAUUCAUUUAUUAUACAUAUCUGAUAACUUUAAAACAGGGAACUUUAAAUGAGAUAGCACCAAAAAGAUUCAAAUUCUGAGGAUAUGACUCGAAUCUCAGAAUCACUCAACCCUUCAUGUAAUGCUCAUAGACCAAUUGCGCUGCAAGCAUAUCGACAAUUGCAGAACCAACAGACUUAAACACAGUAAUCUCUCGAGAAUCCCUCCUUCCAGCUUCAUCCCCUUUGAUCAAUUCCACCAAAUA
Molecule: unclassified non-coding RNA, 247 nt
Filed under: Hevea brasiliensis (rubber tree)
Lineage: Eukaryota; Viridiplantae; Streptophyta; Magnoliopsida; Malpighiales; Euphorbiaceae
Source: RNAcentral